RNAcentral lists this ribosomal RNA (230 nucleotides) under uncultured prokaryote. RNAcentral's name for it is "partial 16S ribosomal RNA". The record is from RNAcentral.
UUAUUUCCUAGACAAAUUAGAGCCAAUACCAUCAGCUUUACCGUCUUUCCAGAAAUUGUUCCAAGUAUCGGCAACAGCUUUAUCAAUACCAUGAAAAAUAUCAACCACACCAGAAGCAGCAUCAGUGACGACAUUAGAAAUAUCCUUUGCAGUAGCGCCAAUAUGAGAAGAGCCAUACCGCUGAUUCUGCGUUUGCUGAUGAACUAAGUCAACCUCAGCACUAACCUUGC